AGCUCCAAUAGUGUAUGCUAUCAUUGUUGCAGUUAAAAGCUCGUAGUCGAUUUUUUAAGUGAAUCAAUUUUAUGUGGUCUCAAAAACUUCAGAAAUAGAUGAUUUAUCUUACUCUAUUCUUUUUCACCCUUGGAAUUCGUUUCUGAAAGUGAAGUUAGUGUGUGUUUACUUCGAGAAAAUUAGAGUGUUCAAAACAGGCUUACGGUUUGAUAUUAAAGCAUGGAAUGAUACUUAAUGACUUUUGUUAUUUUUGAUGGUUUCAGUGGCUGAUGUAAUGAUUUAUAGAGUAAGUCGGAGGUAUUAGUAUUUUGUUGCUAGAAGUGAAAUUCCGGGAUCGACAAAAGACCAACAAAUGCUAAAGCACUUGUCUAGACUUUGCUUUUUGAUCAAGAACGAAAGUUAACG
This 405-nucleotide ribosomal RNA is filed under the name uncultured eukaryote. RNAcentral describes it as "SSU rRNA". It matches the Rfam family "Eukaryotic small subunit ribosomal RNA", at positions 587 to 995 of the family's 1831-position model. The record is from RNAcentral.